AUACUUACCUGGCAGGGGAGAUACCAGGAUCACGAAGGUGGUUUUCCCAGGGCAAGGCUUAUCCAUUGCACUCCGGAUGUGCUAACCCCUGCAAUUUCCCCAAAUGUGGGAAACCUGACUGCAUAAUUUGUGGUAGUGGGGGACUGCAAUCACGCUCUCCCCUG
This is a small nuclear RNA of Callithrix jacchus (white-tufted-ear marmoset), 164 nucleotides long. Its record names the gene U1. It matches the Rfam family "U1 spliceosomal RNA". Rfam says of the family: U1 is a small nuclear RNA (snRNA) component of the spliceosome (involved in pre-mRNA splicing). Lineage: Eukaryota; Metazoa; Chordata; Mammalia; Primates; Cebidae. The record is from Ensembl.